Molecule: ribosomal RNA, 253 nt
Filed under: uncultured bacterium
Lineage: Bacteria
Description: partial 16S ribosomal RNA
Rfam family: Bacterial small subunit ribosomal RNA
Source: RNAcentral
UACGUAGGGUGCGAGCGUUAAUCGGAAUUACUGGGCGUAAAGAGUGCGUAGGCGGUUCGUUAUGUCUGCUGUGAAAGCCCCGGGCUUAACCCGGGAAUGGCAGUGGAAACUGGCGGGCUUGAGUGUGGCAGAGGGGGGUGGAAUUCCGCGUGUAGCAGUGAAAUGCGUAGAGAUCGGAAAGAACAUCAGUGGCGAAGGCGUCUGCCUGGCACCAGACUGACACUUAAGUGCGAAAGCGUGGGGAGCAAACAGG